CCCUGGUUAGCUCAGUUGAUAGAGCGCUCCACCUAUAAUGGAGAGGUCCCGGGUUCGAUACCCGGACCAGGCG
RNAcentral lists this transfer RNA (73 nucleotides) under Ixodes scapularis (black-legged tick). Its description in RNAcentral is "tRNA-Ile". It matches the Rfam family "tRNA". Rfam says of the family: Transfer RNA (tRNA) molecules are approximately 80 nucleotides in length. Their secondary structure includes four short double-helical elements and three loops (D, anti-codon, and T loops). Lineage: Eukaryota; Metazoa; Arthropoda; Arachnida; Ixodida; Ixodidae. The record is from RNAcentral.